CACUGGGGGACGGUAAUCCUAUGAUGAACCGUCAGGGGUUUUCAAAGUAAAAAUAGACAACACAAGUCCAUUGAGAAGUACAUGUUUUCCUUUUUGCCCUUUACCAUCUGUUUGCAGGUAUGUGCCCACCCUGUGUGGACAUGACCAGCUUGCUGUCAUGUGAUCCACAACCAGGUUCAAAAGCUUAUGGUCCAUUGAAAAGGACACAGUACAGAAUUCCCUACUGACCAGAGAUAGAAGCUCACAUCACUGGAUCUGGGUAAGGCUACUGGCUUUUAAAAAGUCUAUGUUAUAGAUCAGUUUUUUUAGGGCACUUUACUUUUUGUUUUUGUGUUGUAAUGCAAGUGGAAUCAUUGCUUUAUCUCUGCGAGAUAAUGCACAUACACUUUUUCAUAGGUACAGGCUGUGGUGCAUCUUUACCAUGUCAGACACAGAAGAAACUACACAUGAGGGACCACGUAAGUCAGAACAGUAAAUUCACACACAUAAGGCACAUACGCAUGAGUUUGCGACUUUGGUUUAGUGAACUUAGCAGCAGAUUCAUGCAUGCAGCAUGAUAGUGUGGAAGUCUGCUGCUUUCAACACAGCCUGAAGAAAGUAUGUUGUUUUCAUGCUGCAUGGGCACACAACAAAAAAGAGAAAAGCCACCAUUAUUAAAUUGACGAAAAUUUUCUUUCUUAACUUAAAGUUGUUGCACAACCUGAUCAAUGCAUGUCAGAAGAAUGAAAAGCCUCGCUGGACUUCUUUAUGCAGCUGUGAUGCUCCCUGAUUCAUCACACUUGAGCCUUGCAUUUGCAAAGUCUUAGUUAAGCUACUGGCUCAACAAAGUUAAGCUACUGGCUUCACCACACAGCUGACUGUAUUUUUGGCAUGUUGGUGCCACUGAAGAGGCAUGUUGCCGCUCCAGCUUUUCUGCCACAUUAACGCUUUAUCCUCUCUGCCAGUGGCUCUUGUCUGAGAUGUUCAUCCCAGUAGAUUAUCCAGUGAUCUGUCCUUUCUCUCCAAAUAAUGAAUCAGCUCAUCCUUGAAAGAUAUAUGGGGUCACUAUUAUAUUUCUGUCUCUUCUGUCCAUGCGGGGUACUGACGUUUGGCUGUUUGUGAAGUUAGGCACCUGUCUCCCUCUUCAUGGUGUGCAGUUGCUGUUAGUGAGUAGUGACUGUUCUCAAAAGGGGACCUUGGGGAAGGGAAAGGCCUGAGCACAAUGACCACUUUCAGCUUCAGGCCGAUUAGAGGUCUGAAUACAGGUUGGGUUACCCUCUUUGGAGCGAAAGAGGUCCUGUUUCCCACAGCAACCACAGACACCAGGAGACUAAGGCUUUUUUUUUUUGCAUCCAAAAGAGGCUCAGAAAUGUUUGAAAAUUUUUGAGCAUGAUAACAUUUAGAUCUGAUAACUGUGGGAGAGCUAAAAAAUCCAAUGAACAAAGCAGCUUCACCAAUUCAGUUUUCUCUCUUUCAAAACCACAGUUUUAAUGCCAGUUUUAGUGAUUGCUUAGGUUAUAAACUAAAAGAGCAAUGCAAUAGCAAAGUGCAAGUAUCAAUAGUUGCUUUGGUAGAACAAUUCAUGGAAGAAGUUUGGUUGACAAAUUAACAACAACACAAGCCACCAUCAGGUGAAUGAUGGUCAAUUUCAACCAAAAAAGCAAGAAAUAAAAAAUAAGUAUCAAAAGAAACAAAGUAGUCUAAAACCUGUAUGUACAUUUACUUUAUAGAAGAGCCAUAAAUGCAAAACCAUGAAAAUGUUAUACUAUAGGAAUGUAACUGUCUAUGAACUAAUCAUUUACUUUUUGCUCACUAGCAUUCACAUAGUAGUUUUAUGAUGUGUCAAUUAAGUGACUUUUUUUUGUACAUUUAGGGCAUGAGUCUGCACCUUGAUCACUAAAAGUAUCCCUUGGUGCAGUUUCUUACUGACCAAAAACAAGAUCUAUAAAGUUCCACUUGACUGUUUUCAGAAAAAUAUGCUUUACUUAUAUUUUUGUGGACAGUAAACCUCUCAUUUAUAACAUUUCAGUAUUCAGUAUUUUUUAUUAAAUAAUUGAAUUACAACAGUUUUUUCACUUUCUUCAUUUAAAAAAAAAGACUUAUUUUACCAUUGACAGCAGCACAUACAAGUUCCUUUCAAAAUAAAGUUCACCCUGUGUUAAUGAGACCCUCCUGCUGCAGCAGAUGUAUGUGAAUUAAAAAGAUUAAAAAA
Molecule: long non-coding RNA, 2191 nt
Organism: Oryzias sinensis (Chinese medaka)
Lineage: Eukaryota; Metazoa; Chordata; Actinopteri; Beloniformes; Adrianichthyidae
Source: Ensembl